ACCGAAGCCCGUAACCGCCUCCGGGCGUGACGGGUGGCUGGUAUCCUCCUUCUGAGGGGUGUAUGGCGCAGCGUGGGCCGGCCUCAGGGUCGCGAAUUCCCAAUGUUGCGGCGGCUCACCCCUUGGGCAACUCAGUGGGGGCAAUUGGAUAGCUCAUGGACACCUUUGGCGGCUUCGGCCCCGGGGAUGGCUUGAGCUGGGCGUGUUGGGCUUCGGUUCAUGUCCCGACCUCUUAACUAACUCUGACCCCUCUUCAUUGAGGGUUGCCGGUGGUCCGUCGUCCUUCGGGGCGGGGUGAUUUCCCGGCUAAGAUAGUUACCUGGUUGAUUCUGCCAGUAGUCAUAUGCUUGUCUCAA
This 356-nucleotide unclassified non-coding RNA is filed under the name Cladonia piedadensis. Its description in RNAcentral is "partial 28S-18S ribosomal RNA intergenic spacer". The record is from RNAcentral. Lineage: Eukaryota; Fungi; Ascomycota; Lecanoromycetes; Lecanorales; Cladoniaceae.